Molecule: non-coding RNA, 253 nt
Organism: Podarcis muralis (Common wall lizard)
Lineage: Eukaryota; Metazoa; Chordata; Lepidosauria; Squamata; Lacertidae
Source: RefSeq, a predicted model, not a curated record
GCAGCUGACAGACAGUUGAAAAUAAAGAGACAGUUAGUGCAGUUGGUUCUUGUGUGAGGGGAGGUAGAAGAGUUAGAGACAGGAUAAAAAUAAGACUAAGAAGUUUAAGGUGAUCAAGUGAGACAUGGUGACAUCUGAUCUGUAUGCUUAAACCUGGAUCGCUCCCAAUCAUAAAGUCUAGAGGAUGAGUUCUGGUUUCUUGGAGUGCUGCAGGAUGUCCCUGUUUUCAUCGGAGAAAUGUUGGAGGGUAUGG